ACAGUAUUUCCCAAAUGACUCAUAAAGCUUGAGAGGUGCUGUGUGAGCGGAUCUGGAGCAAACUAGAUAAGAUAAAAUUAGAGGUGAGAAAAGGGAGAGAAAUUGUAAUCCCAGGGGACAGGGCUGCAGGGUGGGUAGGCCCGCCCCCUGCCCACUGAACUUGGACAGGGUCCAAGAAUUGCUCCAGACCCACCUACAUACAUCCGCCGUGGAGACGCAGGCUCACAGAUGUACAUUUGUGUACACACACACACACACGUCGCUGGGAGAGUUUCCGUUCUGACCGCAGAUCGGCUUGUUUUGUGCUUCGCAAUGUGACUUUGGAGCUACUGUCUUUUCCCUGAAUUACACCCAGUCCCUUUCAUCAGUUGUGUUUUAUGUUCUUGCCCUGUUUUGCUCCAUAUUCCAGCCUUACGUCUUUCUCGAGUGCAGCCCCAGGUCAACCAAUAACCAGUGGAGCCAAUGUCAAGACAGAGCUGCGGUUAUUUGCCAUUCAGCUGGAAAAAUAAUGAUUCCCCAGCUUCCCAAGUGUGGAAAUUUCCCGGAACCAGCCUCUUUCCAGAGCCUAGGGACCCCCCUCCCCCUCCCCCGUUAGUCCAUGAACUUCCCCGCACUCGUAUUUACUCACACGCCUCGUGAGGUUCCAGACGGGAUGAGCUCACGCUCCGCCUGCUUCUUCCCGUCACCUGGAAAUCUCCUCACGGCUUUCCUGGGCAGCUUCUUAGUAUCUGUAAAGGGCAGAAGCACCAGCAUCAGCUACGGGCAGCGCUGCGCGUCUGACAGAUCUGGGUUCUGCCCAGCUCCACUACUCUGUGCCCCUAGUCAAGCCAGUCUUUGGGAGCUGUGGAUGCGUUACCUGUAAAAUGAGAAUAAUAACACCGCGGUGUAGAAAUGUGUCAUUAUCGAAGAGGCAGCUGGUACCUGCACAUAGCCAGGGCUCCAAAAAUGAUAAAUGACACCCAUCUGGGGCCUUUGGUGGUCAAUUCGCUAGAUAAUCUGGACUUAUAAGAAGCAUUAGUAAAUCCAAAUGCCUCAUUUAUGCUGUGAUUAUUUCAUUUCUUCCUAGAGAGGGCUACCUUAAGACCCACAUAGGUUUCAGGGGCAAAGACCGUCCAUUCAAUUAUACUCAUCUUACCUCCAGAAAAACUAAAAGUUAAACAAAGCAGAAGAAUGCAAACUCAAGAGACGUAUUGUGAUAAAGCAACGGGUGUACUUUUAGACUCUCAGGAGCUAUGAUGAAAAUUCUAAAUAAAAGGCAAAAGAGCCUGAGGCUGUUUAAGUAUUUCCACAUUCAGAACUCCUGUAAAUAUCUGUGUAGGUGAAGUACAUGGCUGCCAGAACAAUAAGGCCAUCUGCAAACCACCACCGAUAAUCCAAGCAGAGAACCUCUGAUAAAAUCUUACAUUGUGAUUUUUUUUUGAAACUAAAAAGUCACUUCUGUGAUUGCAGAGAGUUCUGUCCCACAGGAUCUACUGUGCUGUUUCAGAACAAUGAGAAAUGCAAAUGGCAUUUCACUUCAAACUGCAGAAAUAAUCCACAAUUCUGCUCCUUUGGCUGACCAGUCAUUUAUCGCAGGUCAUUGACAUAGGGCUGGGCGGCUUGGUAAACUAAUCACUCAGCUCCUUCGUGUGGUACUGUGCUCUUCUUAGUACAUCAUGUGAAAUUAGUUUGAUGAUUUCAGUUCCUUCUCUUGGGAUCCACAACCCAGUUCAUAGACAAACUGAAAACAACUUGGCUGAACCCAGCUUGGGUCCACAUCAGGGGACAGUUGUUUCUUGAUGUUGGAUUUAUGGAUGGCCAGUGAGUCAGUUCUGACUUCUGAGAAGGAAGUUUUGGCUGAAGACAGAGAUAAAAACAUAGUAAUAAAAAAAAAAGUGGUAUUUGCCUGUGCGUAGGUAUACAUAUGCAUGGAUGUGUGUGUGCACGUGUAUCUGCAUGCGUGGAUGCGCAUGUGCACAUGUGUCUGCAUGCGUGUGCGCACGUGCCUGCAUGCGUGGAUGCAUGUAUGUGCACGUGUGUCUGCACGCGUGGAUGUGUGUGUGCACGUGUGUCUGCAUGCGUGGAUAUGUGUGCACGUAUGUCUGUGUAUGGAUGUGUGUGUAUACGUGUGUCUGCAUGCAUGGAUAUGUGUGCACGUGUCUGUAUGCGUGGAUGUGUGUGUGCAUGUGUGGAUGCAUGUGUAUACGUGUGUCUGCAUGAGUGGAUGCGUGUGUGCACGUGUGUCCGCACGCGUGGAUGCGUUUGUGCAUGUGUGUGCAUGCAUGGAUGUGUGUGUGCAAGUGUGUGUGCAUGCGUGGAUGUGUGUGCACGUGUGUCUACAUGCAUGGAUGUGUGUGCACGUGUGUCUGCAUGCGUGGAUGUGUGUGUGCACGUGUCUGCAUGCGUGGAUGUGUGUGCACGUGUGUCUAUGUAUGGAUGUGUGUGUGCACGUGUGUCUGCACGCAUAUGGACAUGGAUGUUUGUGUGGCCAUGGUGUCGAGUUACUGUAAGACGCCAAAUACUCUGACAGAAUUUCAAGUGGCCACUUAAUAAAAUUUUCAUCUUGACAUAUUUUACUUGCUUUGGAAAAAAAGAAAUACUAUUUUAGAUCUCCCCCCACCUCGCACUGGUUUGUUUAUCUUCCUAAUCUCUCACAAGAAUAUUUCUGGCCCUAAACGUUCUUCCAGAAUUUUGCUACUUUCCCAUCAAAAGGUGAGGUCUAAAUUCCCUGUCUUUGAAACUGUGCCUUUUUGUAACUACCCCAAUGAAUUGAACGUUGCGGAUGUGGGGCUAAGAGGUGACUUCCGAGACUGGGCCAUAAUGAGGUCUCAGCUUCUCUCUCUCUCUCCUACCUCCCCCCCCCCACAUAUCGUGGGAACUCUGAGCUGAUAUGUAAGAAAGCACCUGCCAUGCUAGAGGCCACCUGAGACCCUGUGGCAGAGCAAGCCUUGCCUGAGAAGUCCAGGGGGUGCAGCCCCAGCUCCUGAUGCUUCUCUCCCGAGGAGCUGGGCAUGCGCGGGCAGUGGGCACUUUCCGGGGACCCCACGCCCCACCCUCACGCUGCCCCCCCAGGCCAAGGGCAGUCAGCGUCCCGGCCAUGCCCGCUGAGAUGGCACCAUCCAGAUGGGCAGAGAUAAGCUGUCCCCACCAAACCCCGUCCAAAUGGCAGAUUUAUGAGGAAAAUAAACAUGAUGAAGUUACUCUGUUUGGGGUGGUUUCUUACACAGCAACAGACAACUGGAAUAGCACAUGAUGUGAAAUUAGCUUGAUGAUUUUUUUUUCCUUUGUGGAUUUUUUUUUUUUUAAUUUGGGGAACCAUAAUCCAGUUCAAAGACAAACCAAAAUAUUUGACUGGAACUACCAACCUGGCAAGGCAGCUGUGACUUGAUGCUGAUUUGGUGAAAGUCAGUGAGUGUGUCUUGGCUUCUGAGAAGGUGGCUUUGCCUGGAGAAGCAGAAAACAAUAUAUAUUUUUAAGUGUGUGUAACAACCUUGUACCAAUGCCAAUUUCCUAAUUUUAAUACUGAACAAUGGUUACAUAAAAUGAAAACAUUGGGGCAAACUGGAGGAAGGGUGCAUGGGAUUGCUCUGUGAAAUUUUGCAACUGCAUGUGAAUCUAUUUCAAAAAAACUGUAAGUGGCUGUAAUGAGUCUGUGUGUGUGUGUGUGGUGUUGGGAUUGGGGUGGAGGCUAUGGUGAGUGAAUUGAUUUGGAAUGGCAAUUAUUCUGCUGGAACUUUAAUAAAAGUUUGAUCAUUACAUACAUUAACUACUUAAAGAAAAGGUACAUGAACUGCAGAUAUUUUUAUUCAUUCAUUCGCCACAGGCCCCUCAGUAUCCAGCCAAAUUUAAGGAGGGAGGAGGGGCAUCUUACUUUCACCUUUUCAGUCAAUUCCUACGGUGCUCUUCCCAGAAGAUCAUAAGCCUUGACAAAAGGGCCUGAAAACUGUGAAAGAAUCUCAGACUCGCUGGGUGGGCUCCAGUUUCUUCCAGGCUACGGAGAGGGCUUAGGAUGUGACAGCCAGGCAGGAGCUGCCAGUCACUGAAGGGGAAAGCUACCAUGCUUGACAUUAAUCCUGGGAAUCCGACUGAACUGCUAACUCAGGAGAUGGUUUUUAAACAAGGGGAGGAGAGACUAGGAGAGGUGCACAGCAACCCAGGACCCUAAGAAAAAGACUCCACUCUGAAUUCCCUUUCUGCUUUUGUCCAUAGGCUUAUCUUCCUGGUAGAUGGAGGAACAGGGCAGACAUGAUAUGCUGAGGCUCCGACAUAUUUCCAGACCCUGCGGGAGUGGGCUGGAGAGCCUGGGAAUGACCGCAUGGAAAUGUAUGGCAUGUGUACACACCCACGUGCGGCAUAUGCUGGAAAUGCAUUCAUUUCCAAUGAAGUACCUGAGAAAGGUGAUUAAAAAACCGACAUAAAACACAAGCACGGUGGCAGGCAGAGCCUCUUAACUAAAGGAGAGACGUGACUACACGCGAGCGAUACUGACGUGAACCCGUGAUACCGAGAAGACGUCUCUUCCAGUCUGCUGGACCCUGAAGGAGGCAGGAGUGAAAAGAAGGACAAUGGAUUCGAGCUGCAGCUCAAAUAAGAGUCUCAGGGAGAAGAAUGAUUAAUUGAUGGUGGAGUGAAUGGAGGCUUUUUGCUUUGCCUGGUUUGAAGGAGUGUGCAGGCGCGCACGUUUGUGUGUGUGUGUGUGUGUGUGCACUCGGGUGAGCUCACACAUGUGUACACAUGCUGAUUUUAAGCAACUAGUUCAACAAAGUAAAUGAGUGCAGACUCAACUGAAAGCGGUUGUGGCCAGAGAUUUCCAACUUGGCUCAUUAUGACUUCUUGUCACCUUUUUGAAGUAUAGAUUCCCAGGCCCUACUUCAGACCUUGGGAGUCAGGAUCUUUGAAAGGAGAGCCCUAAAUUCUAGGUUUUUAAGUGCUCCCCAGGCGAUUCUUCGUAUCACUCGGGUCUGGAGAACGAGGUAGGAAUGAAUGGAUGCUUCAGUUUCCCGUCCUUCAAGUGGCACUGGCAUCAGGCCAUUUCUAUUCAGCUGCGCUGAGGUAACAGCCCGUCCAGGGGCAGCUCCAGGUGGAGCCUUUCAGACGAUGAACUCCCAGAGACAAUGGCAGACCCAGGAUGAACUCUCCACCGUGUGGGAAACACAUUCAGAGCGACUUUAUUUCUAGAUUUCUCUGUUUUAACCCAGAAUCCAUUUACACACAUCCCCCCAGAUCUCCUUCCUGCUUCCUCCCUUGGAUGCCAACAGUUCACCACACAGAAAGUUGUGUGUGUGUGUGUGCGUGUGUGUGGCAGGAGGAGUGGGGCUGUGCCAGGAGGGAUGGCUUCAGGAAAGACCCCUUCUCAGCAUGGUGUCUGCGUUCAGUUACGACGAUUCUGAAGAUCUUGUACUUCAGGGCGUCCUCCAGAGAGGAAGGGCUGGUUGUUAAAAGGAAUGGGUACUCAUACCAGUGGUUCUUUUCGAAAACACCCCGACUGGCCAGACUGACAAAGGGGGAGGGGCAUUACUCAAAAAUGGAUUCUUCUCAAUCUCAUGAUCUGCACAGAAUUCCCCCUAAUCCUCUCUGUAUUACUCAGGGAGGGUUAACUUCUGUUCCUUACAAUCCCCAAGGCUCAGUGGCUCAACAGUUCAGGUGACCCUCUCGUCCCCAUCCUAGCACACUGCAGGGCACAGCAGGCUGCGCUCCACAGGGUGAUUCAGGGACCCAGGAUCCUUCCUUAUCAAUGCUCUGCCCUUUCCGAGGCUCUCAGACACCUUCACUGGGGUUGUGCAUUAGACCAGCAGGUGAGGCAUGAGAAAAGAACAUGGAAAACCCAUGGGAAGUUUGUUGCGGUUAAAGCUUGGGAAUUCUGUGAGCUAGAACCCAGGUUCAUGGCCUCUUUCACUGCCAGGGAGGCUAACGAAUGUAAGCUAGCUAUGUGCUUAGGUCAAAGCAGAAACAGGUUCUGGUGAACACAUAGUCUUUGCCCCAUCUCUUUGGGCAGCUUUAAAAUACGACGUGAUGAGAAUGACUUUAUCUGUGUGAUUUUCCUCGCUCAAACCCCUUACCCGCAACUAAUCCUGGAGAAAAUAUCACCUAAGUCCCAGUGGAGGGAUAUUCUACAGAACACCUGACUCGCACUCCUCACAGCUGUCAAAGUCAUCAAAAACAAGGGAAGUCACAGCCAAGAAGCGCCCAAAGAGACGGGAUAGGUGCAAGGUGUCCGGGUGACCUGGAGGCUCAGUGUUGACUGAACAGCGAAAACUUAGUGUCAUUAAAUCAGAAACUCCGAUCUCGUGCAAGAAGCAAGGAGACUGGUUCCCGGUGGUCCACACGGGAGGCCCCAGGAAGGAAGCUCUGCAAACAGCUCUGAGUGCUGGCCCCCGCGGCCUCUGCUGCCAGCUGCCUUUAUCACCGGAAGCCCUGCCCUCUACGCAGCUGCCCUCCGCCGCUGCCACAGAACCACUGAGGAAACCCUGGACCCUGAGAUGUGGAGGAAGCCGCUCUGCAAUUGGAGAGCAGUUGCCAGGCUGGACGCCAAGGACAAGCCCCACCACUGUGUCUGUUGUUCUUAGGGGACAAAAACGUUCCCACCAUCCCAACCACCACCAAGGUGUUCUUGGAAGGGAGGUGGUUGGCAUCCAAAGGCUUCAUGAGGGAACCUUUUUCCUCACUGAGGUCACUACAUUUUUUUUUUUUUAAGGGCUGCAUCUGUGGCAUAUGGAGAUUCCCAGAACUGUAGCCACCGGCCUACACCAGAGCUACAGCAACGAGGGAUCUGAGCUGUGUCUGCGACCUACACCACAGCUCACCGUAACACCGGAUCCUUAAGCCACUGAGUGAGGCCAGGGGUCGAACCCAUGUCCUCGUGGAUGCUAGCCGGGUCCGUUACUGCUGAGCCGUGGCGAGAGCUUCAGAGUCACUACAUUUGCUGUUGAUUCCUUGGCUUUCUUGGCUCUUCAAGGAAAUAUAUUUCUGAAAAUUA
This 6955-nucleotide long non-coding RNA is filed under the name Sus scrofa (pig). RNAcentral's name for it is "lncRNA (ENSSSCG00065078108.1)". The record is from RNAcentral. Lineage: Eukaryota; Metazoa; Chordata; Mammalia; Artiodactyla; Suidae.